CAGAGUCGUAAAACACUCCCAAACCCAUGUGAACUUACCAUUGUUGCCUCGGCGGACCUACCCUGUAGCUUGCUACGCUGUAGACCGCCGGUGGACCAUUAAACUCUUGUUAUUCUAUGGAUAUCUGAGCGUCUUAUUUAAUAAGUUA
RNAcentral lists this unclassified non-coding RNA (148 nucleotides) under uncultured Ascomycota. Its description in RNAcentral is "sequence contains ITS1". The record is from RNAcentral. Lineage: Eukaryota; Fungi; Ascomycota.